RNAcentral lists this ribosomal RNA (497 nucleotides) under uncultured bacterium. Its description in RNAcentral is "partial 16S ribosomal RNA". It matches the Rfam family "Bacterial small subunit ribosomal RNA", at positions 29 to 507 of the family's 1533-position model. The record is from RNAcentral.
AGUGAACGCUGGCGGUAGGCCUAAUACAUGCAAGUCGAACGACCGGACAGUAAGAUUGUGCCCUUACGGGUGGCGAGUGGCGGAUGGGUAAGAAAUACAUCAGCAUCUACUUUUUCGGGGGUGACAACGGGGAGACACUUACACUAAUACCGAAUAUAUCGUACGGGUGGAAGCAGGAGAUCUUGGCGCCUUGCGCGAUAGAUAUAGCUGGUGCCGGGCCGCAUUAGCUAGUUGGUAAGGUAACGGCCCACCAAGGCGACGAUGCGUAGCCGAUCUGAGAGGGUGAUCAGCCACACUGGAACUGAGACACGGUCCAGACUCCUACGGGAGGCAGCAGUAGGGAAUAUUCGGCAAUGGGCGAAAGCUUGACCCAGCCAUGCCGCGUGAGUGAUGAAGGUCUUCGGGUUGUAAAGCCCUUUUAUUAGGAAAGAACAACUGUGUAUGUAUAUCUCGCCGUUCUGACGGUACCUAAUCAGAAAGCCCCGGCUAACUUCGUG